CUCCAAGUGCAGGGUUCGAGACCCCAGGUCUAAUCCAAAAGGUUACUUCAGCAAACAGUUCUAAUUUAAACACUGACAGCAAGACCACUGAAAGUGCUGACAGAAGACAGAUUAAAUGAACAUGGCUAACCUCUAGAGACAAAUAACAGCCAGGCUGAAUGUGCCCCCUGUCUGAGAGGGGAAAAAUAAUAAUACCAUCCUCAUAACACAAAGGAAAUGAUGAGGCCCUCCACUGGGACCCAUACAGAUCUCCCUGCAAGAUUACAGAAGGAACUUUACAUACAAUAGGACUGUACAGGAUACCUCAGAUGUAUGCAUCACAACAUGAAUAUGGUCUAUGAGCAAACAGUGUCUACUGUAAAAAUGAAAUACCAGAAGAACCAAGAAUAAGGAUACACUAUGCUCGCGUUACCAAUACCAUCGUCAUUCGCUCAAGCAAUUUGAA
Labeo rohita (rohu) is the source of this 445-nucleotide long non-coding RNA. RefSeq lists it as uncharacterized. The transcript is spliced from 4 exons. NCBI's taxonomy places the organism in Eukaryota, Metazoa, Chordata, Actinopteri, Cypriniformes, Cyprinidae. The record is from RefSeq and is a predicted model, not a curated record.